GAGUUUGAUCCUGGCUCAGAUUGAACGCUGGCGGCAGGCCUAACACAUGCAAGUCGAGCGGUAACAGAGAGAAGCUUGCUUCUUUGCUGACGAGCGGCGGACGGGUGAGUAACGCGUAAGGAAUCUACCUAUUAGUGGGGGAUAAGCCAGAGAAAUUUGGUCUAAUACCGCAUACGCCCUACGGGGGAAAGGAGGGGAUCUUCGGACCUUUCGCUAUUAGAUGAGCCUGCGUAAGAUUAGCUAGUUGGUGCGGUAAUGGCUCACCAAGGCGACGAUCUUUAGCUGGUCUGAGAGGAUGAUCAGCCACACUGGGACUGAGACACGGCCCAGACUCCUACGGGAGGCAGCAGUGGGGAAUAUUGGACAAUGGGGGGAACCCUGAUCCAGCCAUGCCGCGUGUGUGAAGAAGGCCUUCGGGUAGUCAAGCACUUUCAGAUGUGAGGAACGGUGAGUAAUUAAUACCUGCUUACUGUGACGUAAGCAUCAGAAGAAGGACCGGCUAACUCCGUGC
This 511-nucleotide ribosomal RNA is filed under the name uncultured bacterium. RNAcentral's name for it is "bacterial SSU rRNA". It matches the Rfam family "Bacterial small subunit ribosomal RNA", at positions 9 to 508 of the family's 1533-position model. The record is from RNAcentral.